This 253-nucleotide ribosomal RNA is filed under the name uncultured bacterium. RNAcentral describes it as "partial 16S ribosomal RNA". It matches the Rfam family "Bacterial small subunit ribosomal RNA", at positions 524 to 776 of the family's 1533-position model. The record is from RNAcentral.
GACGAACCGUGCGAACGUUGUUCGGAAUCACUGGGCGUAAAGAGCGUGUAGGCGGCCAACUAAGUCCUGCGUGAAAUCUCGGGGCUCAACCCCGAGCGGUCGUGGGAAACUGGUUGGCUAGAGUGCGGGAGAGGAGAGUGGAAUUCCUGGUGUAGCGGUGAAAUGCGCAGAUAUCAGGAAGAACACCCGUGGCGAAGGCGGCUCUAUGGAACGCAACUGACGCUGAGACGCGAAAGCGUGGGGAGCAAACAGG